GUGUCAGCCGCCGCGGUAAGACAGAGGGUGCAAACGUUGUUCGGAAUUACUGGGCGUAAAGCGCGUGUAGGCUGCUUGGAAAGUCGGAUGUGAAAGCCCUGGGCUUAACCCAGGAAGUGCACUCGAAACUUCCGAGCUUGAGUUCUGGAGAGGGUGGCGGAAUUCUCGGUGUAGAGGUGAAAUUCGUAGAUAUCGAGAGGAACACCGGUGGCGAAGGCGGCUACCUGGACAGAAACUGACGCUGAGACGCGAAAGCGUGGGGAGCAAACAGGAUUAGAUACCCCGGUAGUCC
This 292-nucleotide ribosomal RNA is filed under the name uncultured bacterium. RNAcentral's name for it is "partial 16S ribosomal RNA". It matches the Rfam family "Bacterial small subunit ribosomal RNA", at positions 505 to 796 of the family's 1533-position model. The record is from RNAcentral.